GGGCCCAUAGCUCAGUUGGCAGAGCGCCGCUAUGGCAUGGCGGAGGCCGAGGGUUCAAAUCCCUCUGGGUCCA
This 73-nucleotide transfer RNA is filed under the name Candidatus Parcubacteria bacterium. RNAcentral describes it as "tRNA-Ala". It matches the Rfam family "tRNA". From Rfam's summary of the family: Transfer RNA (tRNA) molecules are approximately 80 nucleotides in length. Their secondary structure includes four short double-helical elements and three loops (D, anti-codon, and T loops). The record is from RNAcentral. Lineage: Bacteria; Candidatus Parcubacteria.